UAGUCCACGCCGUAAACGAUGUGUGCUAGUCGUUGGGGCCCUUAGGGCUUCAGUGACGCCGCUAACGCAUUAAGCACGCCGCCUGGGGAGUACGGCCGCAAGGUUAAAACUCAAAGGAAUUGACGGGGACCCGCACAAGCGGUGGAGCAUGUGGUUUAAUUCGACGCAACGCGAAGAACCUUACCAGGACUUGACAUCCCGAUCGCAGGGCACAGAGAUGAGCCCCUUCAGUUCGGCUGGAUCGGUGACAGGUGCUGCACGGCUGUCGUCAGCUCGUGUCGUGAGAUGCUUGGUUAAGUCCAGCAACGAGCGCAACCCCUAUUGUUAGUUGCCAGCAUUUAGUUGGGCACUCUAGCAAGACUGCCGGUGAUAAGCCGGAGGAAGGUGGGGGACGACGUCAAGUCAUCAUGGCCCUUACGUCCUGGGGCUACACACGUGCUACAA
Molecule: ribosomal RNA, 444 nt
Filed under: uncultured bacterium
Lineage: Bacteria
Description: bacterial SSU rRNA
Rfam family: Bacterial small subunit ribosomal RNA
Source: RNAcentral